This 332-nucleotide ribosomal RNA is filed under the name uncultured bacterium. Its description in RNAcentral is "bacterial SSU rRNA". It matches the Rfam family "Bacterial small subunit ribosomal RNA", at positions 568 to 898 of the family's 1533-position model. The record is from RNAcentral.
CGUGUAGGCGGUCGAGUAAGUCAGAUGUGAAAGCCUUCCGCUUAACGGAAGAAGUGCAUUUGAAACUGCUCGGCUGGAGUACGGGAGAGGAGAGUGGAAUUCCCGGUGUAGAGGUGAAAUUCGUAGAUAUCGGGAGGAACACCAGUGGCGAAGGCGGCUCUCUGGUCCGAUACUGACGCUGAGACGCGAAGGCGUGGGGAGCAAACAGGAUUAGAUACCCUGGUAGUCCACGCCGUAAACGAUGGGCACUAGGUGUAGGAGGUAUUGACCCCUUCUGUGCCGAAGCUAACGCAUUAAGUGCCCCGCCUGGGGAGUACGGCCGCAAGGCUAAA